GAUGAACGCUGGCGGCGUGCCUAACACAUGCCAGUCGAGCGGCAGCGAGGGGUGCUUGCACCCUGUCGGCGAGCGGCGGACGGCUGAGUAACGCGUGGGAACGUUCCCCAAAGUGAGGAAUAACUGCCCGAAAGGGUAGCUAAUACCGCAUAUUAUCUUCGGAUCAAAGGAUUUAUCCGCUUUGGGAGCGGCUCGCGUCGGAUUAGGUAGUUGGUGAGGUAAUGGCUCACCAAGCCGACGAUCCGUAGCUGGUCUGAGAGGAUGACCAGCCAGACUGGAACUGAGACACGGUCCAGACUCCUACGGGAGGCAGCAGUGAGGAAUCUUCCACAAUGGGCGAAAGCCUGAUGGAGCAACGCCGCGUGCAGGACGAAGGCCUUCGGGUUGUAAACUGCUUUUAUAAGUGAGGAAUAUGACGGUAACUUAUGAAUAAGGAUCGGCUAACUACGUG
RNAcentral lists this ribosomal RNA (451 nucleotides) under uncultured bacterium. RNAcentral describes it as "partial 16S ribosomal RNA". It matches the Rfam family "Bacterial small subunit ribosomal RNA", at positions 28 to 507 of the family's 1533-position model. The record is from RNAcentral.